This 467-nucleotide ribosomal RNA is filed under the name uncultured bacterium. Its description in RNAcentral is "partial 16S ribosomal RNA". It matches the Rfam family "Bacterial small subunit ribosomal RNA", at positions 28 to 506 of the family's 1533-position model. The record is from RNAcentral.
GACGAACGCUGGCGGCGUGCUUAACACAUGCAAGUCGAACGGAAAGGCCCUGCUUUUGUGGGGUGCUCGAGUGGCGAACGGGUGAGUAACACGUGAGUAACCUGCCCUUGACUUUGGGAUAACUUCAGGAAACUGGGGCUAAUACCGGAUAGGAGCUCCUGCUGCAUGGUGGGGGUUGGAAAGUUUCGGCGGUUGGGGAUGGACUCGCGGCUUAUCAGCUUGUUGGUGGGGUAGUGGCUUACCAAGGCUUUGACGGGUAGCCGGCCUGAGAGGGUGACCGGCCAAAUGGGGACUGGGAUACGGCCCAGACUCCUACGGGGGGCAGCAGGGGGGAAUAUUGCCAAAUGGGCGGAAGCCUGAUGCAGCAACGCCGGGGGGGGGAGGACGGCCUUCGGGUGGUAAACCGCUUUCGCCUGGGACGAAGCGUGAGGGACGGUAAUGGGUAAAGAAGCCCCGGCUAACUACGU